This 495-nucleotide ribosomal RNA is filed under the name uncultured bacterium. RNAcentral describes it as "partial 16S ribosomal RNA". It matches the Rfam family "Bacterial small subunit ribosomal RNA", at positions 30 to 507 of the family's 1533-position model. The record is from RNAcentral.
UGAACGCUGGCGGCGUGCCUAAUACAUGCAAGUCGAGCGAACGGACGCGAAGCUUGCUUCUCUGAUGUUAGCGGCGGACGGGUGAGUAACACGUGGAUAACCUACCUAUAAGACUGGGAUAACUUCGGGAAACCGGAGCUAAUACCGGAUAAUAUUUUGAACCGCAUGGUUCAAAAGUGAAAGACGGUCUUGCUGUCACUUAUAGAUGGAUCCGCGCUGCAUUAGCUAGUUGGUAAGGUAACGGCUUACCGAGGCAACGAUGCAUAGCCGACCUGAGAGGGUGAUCGGCCACACUGGAACUGAGACACGGUCCAGACUCCUACGGGAGGCAGCAGUAGGGAAUCUUCCGCAAUGGGCGAAAGCCUGACGGAGCAACGCCGCGUGAGUGAUGAAGGUCUUCGGAUCGUAAAACUCUGUUAUUAGGGAAGAACAUAUGUGUAAGUAACUGUGCACAUCUUGACGGUACCUAAUCAGAAAGCCACGGCUAACUACGUG